CUGCACAUACCUCAGAUACGUGCGGCGGCUUGAUUUCUUUGAGAUGCCUGACUACGACUACCUCAGAAAGCUAUUCUUGGAUCUACUGGAACGCAAGGGCUGGUCCAACGACAGCGAAUUUGAUUGGGUGGGACGCACGUCUGGGGUGACGCCGGCUGGAUCGUUCAUGAUGCAGGAUCGUGAGGUCGGGCCACCGAUACGCGAUACUGAGCUCGCACGGGAACGACAUCGCACUAGCCAAACCAA
Molecule: long non-coding RNA, 246 nt
Organism: Priapulus caudatus
Lineage: Eukaryota; Metazoa; Priapulida; Priapulimorpha; Priapulimorphida; Priapulidae
Exons: 2
Source: RefSeq, a predicted model, not a curated record